Molecule: ribosomal RNA, 332 nt
Filed under: uncultured Conexibacter sp.
Lineage: Bacteria; Bacillati; Actinomycetota; Thermoleophilia; Solirubrobacterales; Conexibacteraceae
Description: bacterial SSU rRNA
Rfam family: Bacterial small subunit ribosomal RNA
Source: RNAcentral
CGCGUAGGCGGUUCGGUAAGUCACUUGUGAAAUCCCGGUGCUCAACGCCGGGGCUGCAGGUGAGACUGCCAGACUGGAGCUCGGUAGAGGCGAAUGGAAUUCCCGGUGUAGCGGUGGAAUGCGUAGAUAUCGGGAAGAACACCGGUGGCGAAGGCGGUUCGCUGGGCCGAUGCUGACGCUGAGGCGCGAAAGCGUGGGGAGCAAACAGGAUUAGAUACCCUGGUAGUCCACGCUGUAAACGAUGGGUACUAGGCGUCGGGGGGAGCGACCCCCUCGGUGCCGUCGCUAACGCAGUAAGUACCCCGCCUGGGGAGUACGGCCGCAAGGCUGAA